UGUGAAUAAUGGCAAAAUCAUCGAAAGGUGAUGACGCAAAGCUAAAGGGGCUAUCCAACGCCAGCCAGCUACCAAA
This 76-nucleotide non-coding RNA is filed under the name [Bacillus] enclensis. RNAcentral's name for it is "Bacillus enclensis c-di-GMP sequence". It matches the Rfam family "c-di-GMP-I riboswitch aptamer". From Rfam's summary of the family: GEMM was predicted in a large-scale screen for bacterial structured RNA regulatory elements. Genes associated with GEMM are involved in a diverse array of functions, including chemotaxis regulation, signal transduction, secretion and chitin. Lineage: Bacteria; Bacillati; Bacillota; Bacilli; Caryophanales; Bacillaceae. The record is from RNAcentral.